Molecule: ribosomal RNA, 557 nt
Filed under: uncultured fungus
Lineage: Eukaryota; Fungi
Description: SSU rRNA
Rfam family: Eukaryotic small subunit ribosomal RNA
Source: RNAcentral
GGAAGGGGUGUAUUUAUUAGAUAAAAAACCAACGCCCUUCGGGGCUUCUUGGUGAUUCAUAAUAACUUCACGGAUCGCAUGGCCUUGCGCCGGCGACGGUUCAUUCAAAUUUCUGCCCUAUCAACUUUCGAUGGUAAGGUAUUGGCUUACCAUGGUUUCAACGGGUAACGGGGAAUUAGGGUUCGGUUCCGGAGAGGGAGCCUGAGAAACGGCUACCACAUCCAAGGAAGGCAGCAGGCGCGCAAAUUACCCAAUCCCGACACGGGGAGGUAGUGACAAUAAAUACUGAUACAGGGCUCUUUUGGGUCUUGUAAUUGGAAUGAGUACAAUUUAAACCUCUUAACGAGGAACAAUUGGAGGGCAAGUCUGGUGCCAGCAGCCGCGGUAAUUCCAGCUCCAAUAGCGUAUAUUAAAGUUGUUGCAGUUAAAAAGCUCGUAGUUGAAACUUGGGCCUGGCUGGCAGGUCCGCCUCACCGCGUGUACUUGUCCGGCCGGGCCUUUCCUUCUGGAGAACCUCAUGCCCUUCACUGGGUGUGUUGGGGAACCAGGACUUUUAC